This is a long non-coding RNA of Leptinotarsa decemlineata (Colorado potato beetle), 370 nucleotides long. The record is from RefSeq and is a predicted model, not a curated record. NCBI's taxonomy places the organism in Eukaryota, Metazoa, Arthropoda, Insecta, Coleoptera, Chrysomelidae.
ACAUGAACAUGAGACAAGAUCUUAUAAUAAUUUUCAUAUAUAUAGAACCAACACUGGUGGCGGAACUAAAAACUUAUUCUACAAGGGACUACGGGAAUUUAACAAUUUACCAAAUGCCAUUAAAGAGGAAAAUACUGUAAGAGGGUUUAAAAGUAAAUUAUUGGAAUACCUAGAGCGUUAGUUAGUUGGAAAAUAUGUAUAUUAUAUAUAGUUACUAUAUCAAUAUUGUUUAUCUUCAUUAUUGUUAUUAUCUAUAUACAUAUUUGAAUUUUAUUAAUAUUUUUGGCACUGUGGAAAUUUAAAUUAUUAAUUAGUUAUUAUGUCUUGUAAGAUUAGGAUGUAUCCUAUAAUAAUAAAGAUUACAUUACAU